CAUGGUGGCCGUGUGAAUAAAAAGGGGUCCCACACAUUGUGUGGCCAAUUUUAAUUGGUCCAACACAUGGUGUGGGCCAAGGGCAAUGUGGAUAUUUUGUGGACACUAAAAGAUGAAUAACUAAGUCAUCUUCUCACCACUCUUCAACACUUAAAAAAAAAAUAUAUAUCAACUUGGACAGCUCCACACCCCACUGUUUUCGGCCAAAGAAGGGAAAAACCAAUCCCAUUUUUAGCUUCUUUAAAAUUAUUUCCUUGGUGUUAACCCACUAUUUGGAGGUCCCUAAGUAGCGUGGAAGUAUUGUUUGGAUCAUCCAACUACUCAUUUUGCCCAUUUGCAAACCCUAGCCUAUUGGUGGAUUGAAGAAGAAAGACCUUGGGGAGCCCGAGGCGUAGAUUGGGAUUUACUUUAGAUUGGCUAUUUUGGAGUGCGUACGAGGUACAGACGCACAGUUUGGUGAUCCUCCAGUCUAGGACACCCUCUUCUGCCGUUGGAGUGCUCUUCUCAUUUCAGAGCACAUAUUUUGGUAUACAUUUUGUUCGUUGUGUAUGUACAUAUUUGUUCAGGGGUACGGCGGGGCCCUGUCCCGUCAUAUGUUUCGGUGUGUCUGUUUAGAGGUCUGUAGACGUAUUUGUGGGUGUGUGUGCCUACUUCUGUUCAGUUGUGUUUAUAUGAUUCUAUUCGCUAUGGCAGCCUUGUCGGCCGGCGUUUAUAUACGUUUUGGGCCGUUGUGCCAUUUGAUAGCCCUGUCGGCUUUUGAUACAUUUGAUAGCCUUGCCGGCUUUUUGACAUAUAUAUAUAUAUAUAUAUAUCCGCAUACGGUUGCGUUGAGAUGUGUUUGAAACAGUUUGAUAUAGUUUGAGACGACAUAUAGUAUUUAUGGCCGUAUAUGCUAUUUGUGUGUGAUUCGAUUGAAUAAGUGCGUCAGGUUGCCCAACUAGGGCGCCAGUCACGGCCUAUGGGGUUGGGUCGUGACAAAACUAUUUUUUAAGCAGGUUGGGUCUUUGGAAGGUGAAUGGCCAUGGAAAUUGAAUUGGAAGUCAAAUGUUUCACCUAAAGUUUCAUGUUCCACUGUGCAACAGAUGUCUCUUUGGAGGUAAUUUUGUGGAGAACUACAACCAUAUAUUUAUGCACUGUGGGUUCACUUGACUGUUGGUCUCUCUUGUUUAAUUUGGUUGGUGUAAGCUCUGCCAAAUGCCACAAGAUACCAAGAAACUUUAGUUAUGUUGGAUGAGACAGAAGGUGAACUGCAGAGGCAAACUGAUCUGGAAAGACUAUCCCCAUGUGCAUCAUUUGAAAAACACGACUUUGAAAGAAACAUGAGGUACUUUUGAAGAGAAAGUUGAGCACAUUUCUUUUGUUAAGUUUAAAUGCUCACAAAAGCUGUACUUCUCAUUAGAUAGUAUGAUGUAGUUUUUGGAUUGUUUUGGUCUGUUUGUGUCUAGCUAUAAAAUUCUACUACUUUUGUACUGUAUUGUGCACCGUCUCUUGGUAUUGACAAUAAUAUUCCCAUUUUUUAAUUAAAAAAGUAUAAUAUAGCCUUUCAAUACCAAAUGUUG
Molecule: long non-coding RNA, 1559 nt
Organism: Lycium barbarum (goji berry)
Lineage: Eukaryota; Viridiplantae; Streptophyta; Magnoliopsida; Solanales; Solanaceae
Exons: 3
Source: RefSeq, a predicted model, not a curated record